GACGAACGCUGGCGGCGUGCUUAACACAUGCAAGUCGAACGGGAAGGCCCUGCUUUUGUGGGGUGCUCGAGUGGCGAACGGGUGAGUAACACGUGAGUAACCUGCCCUUGACUUUGGGAUAACUUCAGGAAACUGGGGCUAAUACCGGAUAGGAGCUCCUGCUGCAUGGUGGGGGUUGGAAAGUUUCGGCGGUUGGGGAUGGACUCGCGGCUUAUCAGCUUGUUGGUGAGGUAGUGGCUUACCAAGGCUUUGACGGGUAGCCGGCCUGAGAGGGUGGACGGCGACAUGGGGACUGAGAUACGGCCCAGACGCCUACGGGAGGCAGCAGUGGGGAAUAUUGCACAAUGGGCGGAAGCCUGAUGCAGCAACGCCGCGUGCGGGAUGACGGCCUUCGGGUUGUAAACCGCUUUCGCCUGUGACGAAGCGUGAGUGACGGUAAUGGGUAAAGAAGCACCGGCUAACUACGUG
Molecule: ribosomal RNA, 468 nt
Filed under: uncultured bacterium
Lineage: Bacteria
Description: partial 16S ribosomal RNA
Rfam family: Bacterial small subunit ribosomal RNA
Source: RNAcentral